CUAAUUUAAUUAAUACGAUAUUUUUUGGUAUUGAGAGCCCGAAAUCCUGAAUAGGAUCGCUUAUGUUAGGAUUUAAACCCACAUCCCUUGAGUUUUUUAACUUUUUUUAGCCUAAUUUAUGAAAAAAGAGAAAAAAAUAAUAAUAAAGAAGAUGAUGAGAAUUGUCUAAUUUUAUCUAAUAUAAAAAAUUAUUUAUAUAUUUAAAUUCUAUCAAAUUUUAGAUGUAAUGGUUUUGGAGAAGAGAAGAAUUUUCAGGAGGAGGAAGAGAUUUGGAGAGCACGAGGAAAAUCCCGCGGAUGGUGGGAGAGAUGGUUUAAUGAGAAAGAAGAUAGCGGCGCGAGCUAGUGGUGCAGCUUCAUGGUCUAUUCUCACGUGCACGUAAUUUCUUUCUGUUUGUUUUCUUUUCAAGUAACGGGAUGGAGCCGGGGAAGUCCUAUCCCGUUUUGAUUUUGGGUUUUCAUCAUGAGAUGAUGGGUGGUUAAAAAAUCUCGGCAAGGGCAA
This 501-nucleotide long non-coding RNA is filed under the name Elaeis guineensis (African oil palm). RNAcentral's name for it is "long non-coding RNA (EGUI_LNC039016)". Lineage: Eukaryota; Viridiplantae; Streptophyta; Magnoliopsida; Arecales; Arecaceae. The record is from RNAcentral.